RNAcentral lists this long non-coding RNA (370 nucleotides) under Salmo salar (Atlantic salmon). Its description in RNAcentral is "lncRNA (ENSSSAG00000099043.1)". The record is from RNAcentral. Lineage: Eukaryota; Metazoa; Chordata; Actinopteri; Salmoniformes; Salmonidae.
UUUUCACGAUGAAAUAAAAGAUGUGGAACUACGAUCAUGCUGCGUAUUGGUCCGAUCCUUCUGAAAGCCCAGACAACUAAAAACAAGUAAAUACGUUUUCUGGCGCUCUCAGCUCAGCCCAGAGGUCCGGCUCAGAGUCUCUCUGUCCAUCUGUCUUUCCGUCUGCUGGUGUUUUGACCUCGAAUUCUGUCUUGAAAUCUACAGCUUUAGCUUUAGUGACCUCUACACCUUGACCUUUGGUGACCCCUACCCCAGACAGACAGAGGAGCAACAGCAGAGGAACGACAGAGACAGACUUCUGCAUCUUCAUAUCACAAUCACAGCUUGCUAAUGGAACUGGAGAUCUCCUCUAGAGCAGUGAUGUUUUGGG